RNAcentral lists this ribosomal RNA (497 nucleotides) under uncultured bacterium. RNAcentral's name for it is "partial 16S ribosomal RNA". It matches the Rfam family "Bacterial small subunit ribosomal RNA", at positions 28 to 507 of the family's 1533-position model. The record is from RNAcentral.
GAUGAACGCUGGCGGCGUGCCUAACACAUGCAAGUCGAGCGAACAGGCGAGGCGUUUUCUCUUCUGACGUUAGCGGCGGACGGGUGAGUAACACGUGGUCAACCUCCCCAUACGACUGGGAUUACUCCGGCAAACCGGAGCCAAUACCGGGGAAUUUAUUGAACCGCAUGGUUCAAUAGUGAAAGACGGUUUUGCUGUCACUUAUAGAUGGAUCCGCGCCGCAUUAGCUAGUUGGUAAGGUAACGGCUUACCAAGGCAACGAUGCGUAGCCGACCUGAGAGGGUGAUCGGCCACACCGGAACUGAGACGCGGUGCAGACUCCUGCGGGAGGCAGCAGUAGGGAAUCGUCGGCAAUGGGCGGAAGCCUGACGGAGCGCCGCCGCGUGGGUGGUGAAGGUCUUCGGGUCGUAAAACUGUGUUAUUAGGGAAGAAGAGAUGUGUAAGUGACUAUGGACGUCGUGACGGUACCUAAUCAGGAAGCUACGGCUAACUACGUG